CACGAAGAGGCCUCCAUCGGUCUUUCAACCUUGCCUAUCGUACCCUUUUUGUUGUUCCCUCGGCGGGGGUAAAGCCCGCCGGCGGGAAGCUCGAAAAACCCUUUGCAAUCAGCAUCCAAAAACUCUGAUUACAAAACCUUAAAUCGUUA
RNAcentral lists this unclassified non-coding RNA (149 nucleotides) under soil metagenome. RNAcentral's name for it is "partial internal transcribed spacer 1". The record is from RNAcentral.